GACGAACGCUGGCGGCGUGCUUAACACAUGCAAGUCGAACGGAAAGGCCCUGCUUUUGUGGGGUGCUCGAGUGGCGAACGGGUGAGUAACACGUGAGUAACCUGCCCUUGACUUUGGGAUAACUUCAGGAAACUGGGGCUAAUACCGGAUAGGAGCUCCUGCUGCAUGGUGGGGGUUGGAAAGUUUCGGCGGUUUGGGAUGGACUCGCGGCUUAUCAGCUUGUUGGUGGGGUAGUGGCUUACCAAGGCUUUGACGGGUAGCCGGCCUGAGAGGGUGACCGGCCACAUUGGGACUGAGAUACGGCCCAGACUCCUACGGGAGGCAGAAGUGGGGAAUAUUGCACAAUGGGCGGAAGCCUGAUGCAGCAACGCCGCGUGCGGGAUGACGGCCUUCGGGUUGUAAACCGCUUUCGCCUGUGACGAAGCGUGAGUGACGGUAAUGGGUAAAGAAGCACCGGCUAACUACGUG
RNAcentral lists this ribosomal RNA (468 nucleotides) under uncultured bacterium. Its description in RNAcentral is "partial 16S ribosomal RNA". It matches the Rfam family "Bacterial small subunit ribosomal RNA", at positions 28 to 507 of the family's 1533-position model. The record is from RNAcentral.